RNAcentral lists this transfer-messenger RNA (368 nucleotides) under Lachnospiraceae. RNAcentral's name for it is "Mobilitalea sp012735495 Standard tmRNA". It matches the Rfam family "transfer-messenger RNA". Rfam says of the family: Bacterial tmRNA, also known as 10Sa RNA or SsrA, is named for its dual tRNA and mRNA-like properties. RNAcentral also lists the same sequence under 1 other name. Lineage: Bacteria; Bacillati; Bacillota; Clostridia; Lachnospirales. The record is from RNAcentral.
GGGGUUGUACUGGUUUCGACGGGGGUUUUGAAAUUGCGGCAGCCAUUCGCAGCCCGGGACUGCGUCAAAAACCUGGAAAAAAAAUAAACGCAAACGAUAAUUACGAAUUAGCAGCUGCCUAAUUGCAGCGCUUGUCGGCUCUAAGCAUCCCGCGGCUUGGAAUACCGGCAUCAUCUUAGCGGGGACCUCCGCCUUCAAAGCUUUGAGAUGGCGGAAGAUUCAUGAAGCUACCGAUACCGGAAGCCUGUCAAUCGGCGGCCGGUAGAGGGAACGGUGGACUUCGGGUCCACAAAAAAGAUUGACUGUAAUGGGAGAAGCUGCAAUGGAUAGGCUUUCGGACAGGGGUUCAACUCCCCUCAACUCCAUCA